UCAUUGCCACACACGUACAUGCCAACCUCUGCGAACCUCACCACUGUCCCCCUGCCCGAUUCGGGCGCGACCCGGGGGGCAGUCUCUGGCCGGACGUGGCGAAUGGCCCUCGUCAUGUUCGGUUGGCCGAUCGGGGCACGGCGGGGGCCAUCCCGCCGUGUUUCUGGUCGGCUCAGGAGACUGCUCUUCUUCAGGGGCGCGUCUUGGGCUUCUUCCAAACAAUCAUCAUUGGAUGGCGCAAUGCAUCACUUCCAAAAACAUAUGACUGAGUCUGUGCCUUCGAGGAUCUCGCGGCCCCCCGCGAGAGUUCGAGUUGUUGCCAAGUGCUAAACCAAAAACAACUCUCAGCAACGGAUAUCUUGGCUCCUGCAACGAUGAAGAACGCAGCGAAAUGCGAUACGUAGUGUGAAUUGCAGAAUUCCGCGAAUCAUCGAGUCUUUGAACGCAAGUUGCGCCCGAGGCUUGCCCUCGGACAUUUCUGUCAGAGCGUCACCGCGACACCCACCGACCCCCCACUCACUCGCAAGAAUUCUUGCGAGGAGGGCGGGGGGGCCGAGUGAAACUGGCCGUCCCAGCCAGCCCCCGUUUUUAGAUGUGGGGCUCUGGGUUGGCUGAAAUGGAGGGAAUUUGGUGGCCGCCGUGGCGGCACGGCCCGCGAUCAGGUGAUCCAAGCCUCGUCUUGGAACUCAGUGUGGGCUGGCCGUGUCCGUCCCUAGACCCUCAAAUUUAGCAGGUCCCAGGAAAAUUUCGGCCCUGCGGGGCCGACAAAAGGGAAUGGAGAAGUAACGCAU
Molecule: ribosomal RNA, 791 nt
Filed under: Grimmia pulvinata
Lineage: Eukaryota; Viridiplantae; Streptophyta; Bryopsida; Grimmiales; Grimmiaceae
Description: eukaryotic LSU rRNA
Rfam family: 5.8S ribosomal RNA (bases 340-492)
Source: RNAcentral